UACGUAGGGGGCGAGCGUUGUCCGGAUUUAUUGGGCGUAAAGAGCUCGUAGGCGGCUUGGCAAGUCGGGUGUGAAACCUCCAGGCUCAACCUGGAGACGCCACUCGAUACUGCCAUGGCUAGAGUCCGGUAGGGGACCACGGAAUUCCUGGUGUAGCGGUGAAAUGCGCAGAUAUCAGGAGGAACACCGGUGGCGAAGGCGGUUCUCUGGGCAUGUCCUGACGCUGAGGAGCGAAAGUGUGGGGAGCGAACAGG
This 254-nucleotide ribosomal RNA is filed under the name uncultured bacterium. Its description in RNAcentral is "partial 16S ribosomal RNA". It matches the Rfam family "Bacterial small subunit ribosomal RNA", at positions 524 to 776 of the family's 1533-position model. The record is from RNAcentral.